GGCCAUUUUGAUGAUGUGAACUAGACUUUAAAACAGAAAGAGGAAAAAUGAAUGUGGUGGACAAGGGCUGCUGACAAUAUUAGAUAGAAUCAGAGAUGGAGUCUCACUAUGUUGCCCAGUCUGGACUUGAAGUCUUGGCCUCAAGCAAACCCCCUUGCGUCAGCCUCUGAAAGUGCUGGGAUUACAGGCAUGAGCUACCGUGCUUGCCUCCUUCUCCUUCUCCUUCUCCUUCUUCUCCUCCUCCUCCUCCGUCUUCUUCAUUGUUAAUUUUAGGUGCAGCAACUCCAUCCAGGGGAUAAAAG
RNAcentral lists this long non-coding RNA (302 nucleotides) under Pan troglodytes (chimpanzee). Its description in RNAcentral is "long non-coding RNA NONPTRT003668". Lineage: Eukaryota; Metazoa; Chordata; Mammalia; Primates; Hominidae. The record is from RNAcentral.